This 249-nucleotide unclassified non-coding RNA is filed under the name Hevea brasiliensis (rubber tree). Lineage: Eukaryota; Viridiplantae; Streptophyta; Magnoliopsida; Malpighiales; Euphorbiaceae. The record is from RNAcentral.
GCACCUGUGGAUUCUCUAGUGUAGCCCAACUGCCGAGAUGAUAAUGCACGCCUGUAACUUGAGACCACAUUGGGAUCCAUUUUUGAUAGAAAUGAUUCCUCUGACAAAUGCUUCCACAGUGGCUUUGACGGUGAAAAUGAGUUCUGAAGUGCAAUUUCUUCAGAUUUCAUAGAAUUAAAAGAAUCCUGCAGCUUUUUAACAGAAUCAUCAAAACCCAGAUGCUGAAACGAACUGGAUUUCGAGGAAAAC